This 429-nucleotide ribosomal RNA is filed under the name Triticum aestivum (bread wheat). RNAcentral describes it as "partial small subunit ribosomal RNA". Lineage: Eukaryota; Viridiplantae; Streptophyta; Magnoliopsida; Poales; Poaceae. The record is from RNAcentral.
AUGCGUCCCUACCUCCGGCGUCAGGUGCGUGCCAGCGUUUGCCGCCGCGCCGGAGCCGAUCAGGACCGCCCCGCGUCCCGCCGCCUCCCGAAGCGACCCGCGACGGGCGGCGCGAGGCUGUCGGCCAGGUUCAGGACGGCGGCGGCGGCGCACAAGGUGAAGCUCGUCGGGCCCGAUGGCGCGGAGACGGAGCUGGAGGUGGCGGAGGACGCCUACAUCCUGGACGCGGCGGAGGAGGCCGGCGUGGAGCUGCCCUACUCGUGCCGGGCCGGGUCGUGCUCGACGUGCGCGGGGAAGCUGGCGUCCGGCGAGGUGGACGGGUCGUUCCUGGACGACGCGCAGAUGGCCGAGGGCUACGUGCUCACCUGCGUCGCCUACCCCCGGGCGGACUGCGUCAUCUACACCCACAAGGAAGAGGAGGUGCAUUAG